AGUGAACGCUGGCGGUAGGCCUAACACAUGCAAGUCGAACGGCAGCACAGUAAGAGCUUGCUCUUACGGGUGGCGAGUGGCGGACGGGUGAGGAAUACAUCGGAAUCUACUUUUUCGUGGGGGAUAACGUAGGGAAACUUACGCUAAUACAGCAUACGACCUACGGGUGAAAGCAGGGGAUCUUCGGACCUUGCGCGAUUGAAUGAGCCGAUGUCGGAUUAGCUAGUUGGCGGGGUAAAGGCCCACCAAGGCGACGAUCCGUAGCUGGUCUGAGAGGAUGAUCAGCCACACUGGAACUGAGACACGGUCCAGACUCCUACGGGAGGCAGCAGUGGGGAAUAUUGGGCAAUGGGCGAAAGCCUGAUCCAGCCAUACCGCGUGAGUGAUGAAGGCCUUCGGGUUGUAAAGCCCUUUUGUUGGGAAAGAAAAGCAGCAGGUUAAUACCCGGCUGUUCUGACGGUACCCAAAGAAUAAGCACCGGCUAACUUCGUG
Molecule: ribosomal RNA, 492 nt
Filed under: uncultured bacterium
Lineage: Bacteria
Description: partial 16S ribosomal RNA
Rfam family: Bacterial small subunit ribosomal RNA
Source: RNAcentral